Meleagris gallopavo (turkey) is the source of this 3574-nucleotide non-coding RNA. Lineage: Eukaryota; Metazoa; Chordata; Aves; Galliformes; Phasianidae. The record is from RefSeq and is a predicted model, not a curated record.
UCACUUAAACUUCACCCCUUCCCAAACCACUUUUGCCUCCGACUCUGAGUUAAUGGUUGCCACCAGGUGCUAGAGUAGUUGUGAUAAGGGAUAUAAAGGCAGCACAGCAUCCUCAGAGCUCUCUGCAGGAAGGAGAUACCAUGGUGCUCUGCUGCAGUAAGCUGGCAGCCCUGGUGCUGCUCCUAGAAGUUAGUGCAGCCCCAGUGAGGCUGUGGACUUCAGGUGUCUGUGGUUGUUCUGAAGGGCCCUUCUACUCUUGUGUGCCAGGAAGGUGGGAUUUUUGCUGCAAGGUAAACCUGCAUUUUAUAAGCAGGAUUACCAUCAGGAUGGAUGUUUGUGAAAUGUCCCAAGCACUCUAUAUGACACCCUUCCCCUCAAUUGAAGGUGGCCAUGAACAGCUGCUGCUGAAUCAUCUAGGAGCUGAAACUUGCUUGUUGGAGAGCAAUGUGUUUUCCGAAGUUAUCGACAUGCUGAAGUUGGACCUUGUCCAAAGCAAACCUUCCACUCUGCCUUGAGUCUAAUUCCUGUCAUACUGUGGAGGAUGAGUGUGACUCAUCUCCAACCAGUAGAGUUGUACAUAGGGCCUGGUGACACAUGGAGGAGAUGAAGAACAGAGCCAUGUACUUUAGGACCAGCUUUAUAACCAGCAUGUUAAAAGUACAAGGACAAUUUUUUUCUUUGCGUGUUGUCUACAAAGAGUAAUUGAGGAGCAACAUUUCAUAAGAGCAGGCACCAACAUCUUGUGCAAGGUUACUUCCAAUGGGCUUUCUCCCAGUUCUGGUUCUCUGUUGAGUGAACCAUUUGCUGCUCUGUGAUGUAGUUCUGUUUCCAUGGAUCCAGAUCUUCAAAUAAAAGAUCACUUGAUGCAAGUCAGAAGUGUUAAGACUUCUAUGGCAGUAAAAAAGAAAUGAGCCUAACAGUGCUGAGAUGUGACUAUUGGCAUACGUAGAUGUAUGGGAGGCAAUCUUCAUCAUCCUUGUGGUGCUAUAUAGAUGUGUUUCUUGUGUGAGGAUUUGAGCAGCCUUCGGUUGUGGAAAGCUUCUGAGAUCUCAUGCUGAGGACUGCGCACUUGGAGCUGAGCUGUUCCUGUUUCCUGAUGGAGACAGCACUCAAAUUUCUUCCAUGUCAAGUCUGGCAAUAAACUGUGGGCAGGGCGGUGCUGUGGGUGCCUGGAUCUGGGCUGGGCAGAGUAGGAAGGUGGAGCUGCUUCCUCUUGGAGCCUCCCAGGGAUGUGACUCAGAUGUCACAGCUGACUGUGCUGAUCCUGCUGCCAGGAAGGGAUGGUGUUCAGCAAGCCACUUGUCAUCCUGCCCAAGGCUCCACACGUCUUCCAGUCCCAUGGCUUAGCAGCUGUGCAAGGGCAGAAUCCAGAGGACGAUGCAGGCCAUCUUGAACAUUCCGUCCUCUCCUCACAGUCCAGCCCUGCUCAUGUUCUAAGCCUGCAUGUCCUCGCUUGUGGAGGAGAACAGUGAGAACUUUGUGGGCUUUGCACCAUUUUCCCCAUAUCUGGUCAUUCAAAUCUUACUGGCAGUGGGAAGCUAGAUUUUCUCCACAAGAGGAGGUUGAAACUUGCAUUGAGAUGCCAUCAGAUAAGAUGCCCACGUGGCAGAGGAAAGCUCUUUGUCACACUGGCUGUGGAACAAGGGAGGAAGCUUGUAAAUAUCACAUGAAGGAUGCCAGCGUGUGCCAUGAGGACAAGCUGCUUGCUGCUCAUCCAAGCCCUUGUGCUGCUGCUCACUAUCUCAUCUGACACCCAGCUGGAGUUGGUUUGUUAGUGCUGCUGCCAAGCCAGUCUUAAUCUCCAGGGCUGCAGAGAAAUGUGAGGCUGGAGCAGGAGGGAGCAUACAGCCAGCCCCUCAGCCCAUCAUACUUCCAUGAUGAUGCUAGGAAAAUACAGAGCAAACAACACUGCAGGAAGAAACUUAGCCCACAUACAAUAUACAAGAGCUGUUCCCAUGAUGUUUGCUCAGCCCCUGGUUAAUUUAGUGCGCGGGACGAUCUGGCAGAUUAUGCAGCGAGACAUGCUAAUUCAGGCCUGUGGUUCGUGUGAAAGAAUUACAAGACAGUCUGGGAGACAAUGCAAGCUAAUAUUAGGACGCUAGGCAGGGAGUCAGGAAUCCUAAUCCUGACUGCCACUGACCUGCUCCCAGGCCCUCAGUCCCUCUUUGGAGCUGCUUGGAGAAGAAGAGGAUCUCCCUUGGUGCUCAACAGAGGGAGAUCUCCAUCCCAGCUGAGGCUUCUGGCCUCUAUUAUAUGUAAAUAGUAAAGAUGAUGGUAAUCUUUCCAGAGAGGGUAAGCACUGUAGGGGUGGUAUUGCAUAUCCAAGAUGCUGCUUUUUUUGGAUCAAGCUUCUGUGUGAAGCAGGUGCUGCUUCAGCGUGACGCUGCUUUUGCAGGACCAGUAAGCAGUAAGUUGAUCAGGGACAUUUCUGUGAAGACACAACAUCAGACAUUGCAAUGAAUUCUUGUGCUUCAAAAACACAAGAUGGGUUGUAUAUCUUCCAAAUCACUGAAUGAUAUCUGUGGUGUGUUAAUUGGCUCUGCUUCUGAGAACAUUUAUGUGUGUGCUCAGUCUUACACAUGUGGCUUGUCUGAUGCCUGUAAAUCACUCUUGUGAGAGCAAAGCAAAGCCGCUCCCCAGAUGGCUGCAGGAUAAGGGCCGUGCUGCAUCCUUGCCUGCUGUGGCUUUUGCCAGAAUUACAGCUGUGACCUCCCAGCUGCUUAGCACUGCUGAAGAAAGAAUGUGUCCAAUUCUGAAGGAAUUCCUCCCCAAACCCUCAGCACGUUCUGUCGCUGUGCCUUAUUGCAACUUCAGGCAUAGAGGACAAUAAGGUCUCCUAUGAGCCUCCUUUUCUCCACACUGAACCAUCCCAGUUCCCUCAGCCGUUCCCCAUAAUACUUGUGUUCCACUCCCUCACCACCUUAGCUGCCUUUUGCUGGACAAACUCCAGGGCCUCAAUGUCUUUCCUGUAGUGAGGGGCCCAACGCAGUACCGAAGAUGUGAACUUAUGGUACUGUAAAGACUUACAGCCUUUAGAAGCCUUUCCUAAUUUAGCUGUCUCCCCUUAGCUUUCAGUGUUUUAAAGAGGGAAAGAAUAAGUUUUAAGCAUUGAAGAUGCAUGGAGAAAAUAGGUGAUAGAGAGAAUGGAACAGGGAGAUGGUGUGUACCAAGCAGUGGAAGAGCAAGGAAUGUUGACUCUUUUGCCUCAGCAAAACUGGCAAUGAGUUUGAAGAUGCAAACAGGCUCACUGUAUCUGCAAAAGGAAGGAAGAAUAAAGGAGGACUCUUGGAGUCCUGGGCAAUUGUGCUGACUUCCAAUAGCACAGAUGAGAGGUAGCCCUUCUCCUUUUCCAUCAGUAGAAGCAGAAAGAGGGAAGUUUAUCAGUUGUACAGAUGAACUAGGAUAGUAGGGUAAAGCUAUUGUCUACUGAAAAGUCCCUCUCAACUCAUGUGGGUCCAUUAAAAUAGCAAAAGAAAAAUUCCCAGGGAAGAAUGCAAAGUGGUAAAACUUAAUGUGUACCAGACUAGGGCAGGAACUCCCUCCUUCUGUGAAUAGAUCGUAGACAAGAAAGACU